UACGGAGGGUGCAAGCGUUAUCCGGAUUCACUGGGCUUAAAGGGUGCGUAGGUGGCUUUGUAAGUCAGUGGUGAAAUACCGGAGCUCAACUCCGGAACUGCCAUUGAUACUGCUUAGCUUGAAUCAGGUCGAGGUGGAUGGAAUAUUACAUGUAGCGGUGAAAUGCUUAGAUAUGUAAUAGAACACCGAUUGCGAAGGCAGUUCACUAGGCCUGAAUUGACACUGAGGCACGAAAGCGUGGGGAGCAAACAGG
Molecule: ribosomal RNA, 253 nt
Filed under: uncultured bacterium
Lineage: Bacteria
Description: partial 16S ribosomal RNA
Rfam family: Bacterial small subunit ribosomal RNA
Source: RNAcentral